Molecule: non-coding RNA, 21 nt
Filed under: Caenorhabditis elegans
Lineage: Eukaryota; Metazoa; Nematoda; Chromadorea; Rhabditida; Rhabditidae
Source: RNAcentral
UCUCACGGGAACGCAAAAAAA